GUGCUCACUUCAAUAGCACAUAUUCUAAAAUUGAAAAAAUAUAGACAAUAUUAACACAGUCCCUGCACAAGAACUGUCUCUUAUACACAUCUAGAUGUGUAU
This 102-nucleotide small nuclear RNA is filed under the name Aotus nancymaae (Ma's night monkey). The record is from RNAcentral. Lineage: Eukaryota; Metazoa; Chordata; Mammalia; Primates; Aotidae.